This 300-nucleotide ribosomal RNA is filed under the name uncultured Turicibacter sp. Its description in RNAcentral is "bacterial SSU rRNA". It matches the Rfam family "Bacterial small subunit ribosomal RNA", at positions 355 to 647 of the family's 1533-position model. The record is from RNAcentral. Lineage: Bacteria; Bacillati; Bacillota; Erysipelotrichia; Erysipelotrichales; Turicibacteraceae.
UAGGGAAUCUUCGGCAAUGGGCGAAAGCCUGACCGAGCAACGCCGCGUGAAUGAUGAAAGCCUUCGGGUUGUAAAAUUCUGUUAUAAGGGAAGAACGACUUUAGUAGGAAAUGGCUAGAGUGUGACGGUACCUUAUGAGAAAGCCACGGCUAACUACGUGCCAGCAGCCGCGGUAAUACGUAGGUGGCGAGCGUUAUCCGGAAUUAUUGGGCGUAAAGAGCGCGCAGGUGGUUGAUUAAGUCUGAUGUGAAAGCCCACGGCUUAACCGUGGAGGGUCAUUGGAAACUGGUCGACUUGAGU